GAUAAAUAUUUUAAUAUCAAACCUAUUUUUAUUAUGUAAUUUCUUUUGAAAAAAAAACCAUUACCUGGCCUAAAAAAAUAUGUGUUGCUAUAGUGCUUAACACGAUUUUUAAGGUAGCCGGAAUUGACCUUAGAACGAUAGUAUUGACUUUUGAUGUCCAAAAAUAGGCAGAUCGAACAUAUUUUGACUUUAUUUGCUGACUUUUUACGUUUGGGAUUGAUUGAAACUAUGAAAUUGAUUAUUUCAAUGAGAAAGAAAUUUUCCUUUUUUUUGUUAAGAUAUUAAACAAUAACGUUUACCUGGCGUACCCGUACGUUAAAUGUAUUUCGGCAUUUCUCUUCGAAAAAUGACCUUUUAAUGGAAUAAAACGUCUUAUUCGUUAACUUUCUCUUUUUUCUCCUCAAU
RNAcentral lists this long non-coding RNA (405 nucleotides) under Mytilus galloprovincialis (Mediterranean mussel). Lineage: Eukaryota; Metazoa; Mollusca; Bivalvia; Mytilida; Mytilidae. The record is from RNAcentral.